UNUUUACUAUUUAUUCAGGGCUACUCUAU
RNAcentral lists this non-coding RNA (29 nucleotides) under Mus musculus (house mouse). The record is from RNAcentral. Lineage: Eukaryota; Metazoa; Chordata; Mammalia; Rodentia; Muridae.